Molecule: ribosomal RNA, 1060 nt
Filed under: Enterococcus faecium
Lineage: Bacteria; Bacillati; Bacillota; Bacilli; Lactobacillales; Enterococcaceae
Description: bacterial SSU rRNA
Rfam family: Bacterial small subunit ribosomal RNA
Source: RNAcentral
AUCAAAACCGCAUGGUUUUGAUUUGAAAGGCGCUUUCGGGUGUCGCUGAUGGAUGGACCCGCGGUGCAUUAGCUAGUUGGUGAGGUAACGGCUCACCAAGGCCACGAUGCAUAGCCGACCUGAGAGGGUGAUCGGCCACAUUGGGACUGAGACACGGCCCAAACUCCUACGGGAGGCAGCAGUAGGGAAUCUUCGGCAAUGGACGAAAGUCUGACCGAGCAACGCCGCGUGAGUGAAGAAGGUUUUCGGAUCGUAAAACUCUGUUGUUAGAGAAGAACAAGGAUGAGAGUAACUGUUCAUCCCUUGACGGUAUCUAACCAGAAAGCCACGGCUAACUACGUGCCAGCAGCCGCGGUAAUACGUAGGUGGCAAGCGUUGUCCGGAUUUAUUGGGCGUAAAGCGAGCGCAGGCGGUUUCUUAAGUCUGAUGUGAAAGCCCCCGGCUCAACCGGGGAGGGUCAUUGGAAACUGGGAGACUUGAGUGCAGAAGAGGAGAGUGGAAUUCCAUGUGUAGCGGUGAAAUGCGUAGAUAUAUGGAGGAACACCAGUGGCGAAGGCGGCUCUCUGGUCUGUAACUGACGCUGAGGCUCGAAAGCGUGGGGAGCAAACAGGAUUAGAUACCCUGGUAGUCCACGCCGUAAACGAUGAGUGCUAAGUGUUGGAGGGUUUCCGCCCUUCAGUGCUGCAGCUAACGCAUUAAGCACUCCGCCUGGGGAGUACGACCGCAAGGUUGAAACUCAAAGGAAUUGACGGGGGCCCGCACAAGCGGUGGAGCAUGUGGUUUAAUUCGAAGCAACGCGAAGAACCUUACCAGGUCUUGACAUCCUUUGACCACUCUAGAGAUAGAGCUUCCCCUUCGGGGGCAAAGUGACAGGUGGUGCAUGGUUGUCGUCAGCUCGUGUCGUGAGAUGUUGGGUUAAGUCCCGCAACGAGCGCAACCCUUAUUGUUAGUUGCCAUCAUUCAGUUGGGCACUCUAGCAAGACUGCCGGUGACAAACCGGAGGAAGGUGGGGAUGACGUCAAAUCAUCAUGCCCCUUAUGACCUGGGCUACACACGUGCU